This is a microRNA precursor of Leersia perrieri, 95 nucleotides long. It matches the Rfam family "MIR2275 microRNA precursor family". The record is from Rfam. Lineage: Eukaryota; Viridiplantae; Streptophyta; Magnoliopsida; Poales; Poaceae.
AAGCUGAAUGUGAGAGUUGGAGGGGGCCAAAUCAUGAGCUUCAGAUCCAGCCAUUGCACAAGAUUUGGUUUCCUCCAAUAUCUCAUCUUCAACUG